Molecule: transfer RNA, 72 nt
Filed under: Camelus bactrianus (Bactrian camel)
Lineage: Eukaryota; Metazoa; Chordata; Mammalia; Artiodactyla; Camelidae
Also listed under: 2 other names
Rfam family: tRNA
About the family: Transfer RNA (tRNA) molecules are approximately 80 nucleotides in length. Their secondary structure includes four short double-helical elements and three loops (D, anti-codon, and T loops). Further hydrogen bonds mediate the characteristic L-shaped molecular structure. tRNAs have two regions of fundamental functional importance: the anti-codon, which is responsible for specific mRNA codon recognition, and the 3' end, to which the tRNAs corresponding amino acid is attached (by aminoacyl-tRNA synthetases). tRNAs cope with the degeneracy of the genetic code in two manners: having more than one tRNA (with a specific anti-codon) for a particular amino acid; and 'wobble' base-pairing, i.e. permitting non-standard base-pairing at the 3rd anti-codon position.
Source: Rfam by way of RNAcentral
GGGCGGGUAGCUCAGAGGUAGAGCGUGUGCUUAGCAUGCACGAGGUCCUGGGUUCCACCCCCAGUGCCCCCC